CGCGUAGGCGGUUUGGUUAGUUAGGCGUGAAAUUCCUGGGCUCAACCUGGGGGCUGCGCUUAAUACAGCCAGACUAGAGUGUGAAAGAGGGUCGUGGAAUUCCCAGUGUAGAGGUGAAAUUCGUAGAUAUUGGGAAGAACACCGGUGGCGAAGGCGGCGACCUGGUUCAUUACUGACGCUGAGGCGCGAAAGCGUGGGGAGCAAACA
This 207-nucleotide ribosomal RNA is filed under the name uncultured bacterium. RNAcentral describes it as "partial 16S ribosomal RNA". It matches the Rfam family "Bacterial small subunit ribosomal RNA", at positions 568 to 774 of the family's 1533-position model. The record is from RNAcentral.